UUAUCUGGAAGAGUAAGGAAUAGAUAGGUUGUCAAAUUCUUACCUUACUUCUUUGGUCGCUCCCUAGGCUCCUCCCCUGUCUAAUGUUGGCCCAACACUUGCGCCAGAGAUGAACUAGAAAGGGCUAGUUGUAUCUGGUGGUUGUAUCUGGAUUCGGACUCAGCCAUGUGGAACAGGGCGUGAGGAUCUUACUAUGUCACUCGGGCUGGCCUGAAACUUCUCAUGUAUCCUUGGGUAAUGGCAGCCUUGAACUCAAGAUCCUCCUGUCUCCAGAGUGUUGGGAUUACAGGUAUGCACCACUACACCCUGCUGCUUCUGCAACUCACGAAUAAGCACUUUGAUUUGGGUGAAUGAGUGGGGACCGGACUGUGAAAUGAGGGCUAGGUCUCAGGAGAGAUAGGGCCUGCAAGCCAAGCACCCAGAAAUUGGGUUUCUUGUAGAGGUUUAAGUAACAGAGAACAGCAACAGGACUGAGAUACCUAGGGAGCCUUACCUGGAUAGCCAUGGGUAGCAGCUUCCCACCGGGGUCCAUCCUCAGCAUGACAAGAGGGGCAGCCAGGUACUGUGGUUCUCCUCGGAUCACAUUAGCUGGAAUUCCAUCCAGCAGGAUAAAGUCAGCUUCAAACAGGGAUCCAUUCUGGAGAAAGGAAUGCAUCCAUCUCAGGGUUCAAAGUUCACGCACAGAAGGGCCAAGAGGUGUAAGACCAUCUAUGGAAGCAUCAGUGUCCUUACCGGCCACUUCUCUCAUCAAAAGCUGACUCUCCCUUCCCCAGAAGACUUCAAUUGCCAAAGCUUUCACGGACUGGCCUGACUCCACCUUAACAUUAAAAGCCAUCUUGGUACAAGGUCACAAUAAGUUCAUUCCUGGUUUCUGUAGAACUUGGGAUUGACCUUGUCCUGACUCAUUUUCUGGUGUUUGCCAUGCUCCACCUCCUCUACCCUACCCCCCACCCUGAGAAGUUAAGUUGUGGUGCCAAGUUCUUUAUGUAACCAAACACCCUGAACCCCCUGCCCCAGUCUCAUAUCUUUGGGGCUAAUAUAAACCCCCACCUUCUCCCAUGUUCAGUACUAUUUUAUCAAACCCUGCGUUAAGGACAUAGCCCUGGGGCUGGUGAGAUGGCUCAGUGGGUAAGAACACCUGACUGCUCUUCCAAAGGUCCGAAGUUCAAA
This is a long non-coding RNA of Mus musculus (house mouse), 1170 nucleotides long. RefSeq annotates it as predicted gene, 40191. The record is from RefSeq and is a predicted model, not a curated record. The transcript has 3 exons. Lineage: Eukaryota; Metazoa; Chordata; Mammalia; Rodentia; Muridae.